This 482-nucleotide ribosomal RNA is filed under the name uncultured bacterium. Its description in RNAcentral is "partial 16S ribosomal RNA". It matches the Rfam family "Bacterial small subunit ribosomal RNA", at positions 29 to 523 of the family's 1533-position model. The record is from RNAcentral.
AAUGAACGUUGGCGGCGUGGAUUAGGCAUGCAAGUCGAGCGAGAACCGUAGCAAUACGGGGACAGCGGCGAAAGGGACAGUAAUGUGUAGGUACCUACCCCUGGGUCCGGGAUAGCUACGGGAAACUGCAGGUAAUACCGAAUAAUGUCUCCGGACCAAAGGUGUGAUUCCACCUGGGGAGGGGCCUGCAUCCUAUUAGCUUGUUGGCGGGGUAACGGCCCACCAAGGCAACGAUGGGUAGCGGGUGUGAGAGCACGACCCGCGUCAUUGGGACUGAGAUACUGCCCAGACACCUACGGGUGGCUGCAGUCGAGGAUCUUCGGCAAUGGGCGAAAGCCUGACCGAGCGACGCCGCGUGCGGGAUGAAGGCCUUCGGGUUGUAAACCGCUGUCGUAGAGGAGGAAAUGCAGGGGGGUUCUCCCCUUUGCUUGACCUAUUCUAGGAGGAAGUACGGGCUAAGUUCGUGCCAGCAGCCGCAGUAA